AAAUUCCAUAUUAUGCAUCAUUCUCAUUCCAUUUAUAUGGAACAAGUAAAACCUCAUAGAUCAUGUGUAUUAAAAAAAAUACAUCAUUCAUGAAAUACGUCACUUCAUCCAUGAACAUCAACUUAAAUGCAUCCAUAAGUCAUUCAUUCAUACCAUGUAAGUACCCAAACACGUAUUCAAGUGAUUCCAUGUAAAUUCAUUCAAUUUCACUCAACAUUUAUUAAAAAUUCAGCAUAGACACAUGCAUGUAAAGUCACAUAUAUCAAUGCUUUAACCAUCAUAACUACCUUAAACUUCUACAAACUAACUCUAAUUACUUUGGGAAAUUGCCCAAAGUGUCCAAAACAGUCUCAACUAACUUUUUAACCAAUUUUCAACCUCUAAUCAUCCCUCACCUAGUUCUAUAUAGUCAUUCAUCAUUCACCCAUGAGAGGCCUCUUCUUCACUUUUUGAUUCCAUCCAUUCUCCAUGUUCUCUCAAGUUUUCACUUUCCAUUCUCUAACCUUCUCUCACUAGAGCUCAAAUCCAUGGUUGUUAAAGAUUCACAUUGAAACUUCAAUCAACUUGAGCAUAAACCUUCACCAUACUUCGCAUCAUAGUUUUUCAUGAUUCAAGCAUUGAAAAAUGGCAAAAGAAUCAAAAACAACAAGAAAUCAAAUGGAAGAAAAAAAGAGGAUGAAGAGGAAUUGAAUCGGAGGAAUUAACAAGCAAAUGCAAAGAAUCAUUUAUCGUUUGCACCGCUAUUGAAGAACCUUCGGAGGGUCUUCAAUUGAUAAGCCUCAAAUUUUAUUUAUCAUUCCAUGAGUGUUUUGCUUGCUUAUGCCUUCUAUGCUUGCUUGCUUGUUUGAGUUAUUUUUGUUUGCUUGUUUAUGUGUUUCCCUUGCUUUUCAUCUUGUGUGGGCGAUUACCUUGAGAAUCUAAACCUUGCCAUAAACAAAAACCAUAGAAAACUCAUUACCAAUACCAAACUUGACCUCCUUCAUCACCAAUUUCAACCUUCAUCAAAUUCACCAUAAAUCGCAAGAAACGUCACCAAGAAUCAUUACCGCAACCCUUACUAA
RNAcentral lists this long non-coding RNA (1061 nucleotides) under Lathyrus oleraceus (garden pea). RNAcentral describes it as "Pisum sativum (pea) long non-coding RNA (PSAT_LNC028567)". The record is from RNAcentral. Lineage: Eukaryota; Viridiplantae; Streptophyta; Magnoliopsida; Fabales; Fabaceae.